This 205-nucleotide long non-coding RNA is filed under the name Mytilus galloprovincialis (Mediterranean mussel). The record is from RNAcentral. Lineage: Eukaryota; Metazoa; Mollusca; Bivalvia; Mytilida; Mytilidae.
CCUGGUACCUUUGAAAACUAUAAGAAUGUCCAAAUGUUCUAUUGUGUUGUUUGUGUAUUGCUCUUUCACGAAUGUUCUUGAUUUGUACUGAAGUCCUGUCAUAUAAUGUUGUCAUUUAAGUGUUAUUUUUGACAUUGCCAUAAAAUGGCAAGGUUUGACUAACCGUAAAACCAGGUUCAACCCACCAUUUUUCUUUAAAAUGUCC